RNAcentral lists this ribosomal RNA (465 nucleotides) under uncultured bacterium. RNAcentral describes it as "bacterial SSU rRNA". It matches the Rfam family "Bacterial small subunit ribosomal RNA", at positions 27 to 507 of the family's 1533-position model. The record is from RNAcentral.
GGAUGAACGCUGGCGGCGUGCCUAACACAUGCAAGUCGAACGGACGAGAAGAGCUUGCUCUUCGAGUUAGUGGCGGACGGGUGAGUAACGCGUGAGCAACCUGCCUUUCAGAGGGGGAUAACAUCGGGAAACUUGUGCUAAUACCGCAUAACGUAUACGGAUUGCAUGGUCUGUAUACCAAAGAGAGAUUGAUGCAGGAUAGGCUCGCGUCUGAUUAGAUAGUUGGCAGGGUAACGGCCUACCAAGUCUACGAUCAGUAGCCGAACUGAGAGGUUGAACGGCCACAUUGGAACUGAGAAACGGUCCAGACUCCUACGGGAGGCAGCAGUGGGGAAUAUUGGGCAAUGGGGGAAACCCUGACCCAGCAACGCCGCGUGAAGGAAGAAGGUCUUCGGAUCGUAAACUUCUGUUCUUGGUGAAGAGAAGAAGACGGUAGCCAAGGAGGAAGCCCCGGCUAACUACGUG